Molecule: transfer RNA, 72 nt
Filed under: Stegodyphus mimosarum
Lineage: Eukaryota; Metazoa; Arthropoda; Arachnida; Araneae; Eresidae
Rfam family: tRNA
About the family: Transfer RNA (tRNA) molecules are approximately 80 nucleotides in length. Their secondary structure includes four short double-helical elements and three loops (D, anti-codon, and T loops).
Source: Rfam by way of RNAcentral
GCCUUUUUUGGUGUACGGGUAGCACACUCGGCCCGUAUUCGAGAGGUCCAAGUUCAAGUCUCGGAGAAGGCA